RNAcentral lists this ribosomal RNA (468 nucleotides) under uncultured bacterium. RNAcentral describes it as "partial 16S ribosomal RNA". It matches the Rfam family "Bacterial small subunit ribosomal RNA", at positions 28 to 507 of the family's 1533-position model. The record is from RNAcentral.
GACGAACGCUGGCGGCGUGCUUAACACAUGCAAGUCGAACGGCAAGGCCCUGCUUUUGUGGGGUGCUCGAGUGGCGAACGGGUGAGUAACACGUGAGUAACCUGCCCUUGACUUUGGGAUAACUUCAGGAAACUGGGGCUAAUACCGGAUAGGAGCUCCUGCUGCAUGGUGGGGGUUGGAAAGUUUCGGCGGUUGGGGAUGGACUCGCGGCUUUACAGCUUUUUGGUGGGGUAGUGGAUUACCAAGGCUUUGACGGGUAGUCGGCCUGAGAGGGUGGCCGGCCACAUUGCGCAUGAGAGACGGUCCAGACUCCUGCGGGAGGAAGGAGUGGGUAAUAUUGCACAGUGGCCGGAAGCCAGAUGCAGCAACGCCGCGUGCGGGAUGACGGCCUUCGGGUUGUAAACCGCUUUCGCCUGUGACGAAGCGUGAGUGACGGUAAUGGGUAAAGAAGCACCGGCUAACUACGUG